GAGGGUAUAGCUCAGUGGUAGAGCACAUGCUUAGCAUGCACAAGGUCCCAGGUUCAAUCCCCAGUACCUCCA
Molecule: transfer RNA, 72 nt
Filed under: Camelus bactrianus (Bactrian camel)
Lineage: Eukaryota; Metazoa; Chordata; Mammalia; Artiodactyla; Camelidae
Also listed under: 2 other names
Rfam family: tRNA
About the family: Transfer RNA (tRNA) molecules are approximately 80 nucleotides in length. Their secondary structure includes four short double-helical elements and three loops (D, anti-codon, and T loops).
Source: Rfam by way of RNAcentral